This 1008-nucleotide ribosomal RNA is filed under the name Triticum aestivum (bread wheat). RNAcentral's name for it is "partial small subunit ribosomal RNA". Lineage: Eukaryota; Viridiplantae; Streptophyta; Magnoliopsida; Poales; Poaceae. The record is from RNAcentral.
AUGGUUCGUACCAAUGUCAAUCCUAUUUGGGGAAAGAUUUGGAAAUUAUCGUGUCCGACAAAGGUAAAAAUAUUUAUCUGGCGAACGUUGCAUGGAACUCUACCGUGUCGUGUUACACUUGCCAAUAGACAUAUGAAAGUUUCGCCCCUUUGUCCAUCAUGCUCAAAUGGGCAAGAAGAUACAAAACACAUCUUGUUUUUGUAUGAGAAGGCAAAAGAGGUUUGGGUAAGCUGGGGAUGUGAGGUAAUUAAGAAAGCUUGUGUUAUUGAUCGUGCGGGUGAGGCGGUUCUUGAAUUCUUACUUCUUAUGCUGCACCAAGAACUAUCUAUAUUAGGAUGCCAGAAUGCAAGUGAAUUAAUCGCGAUAACCGCUUGGUAUUUAUGGUGGGAGAGACGCAUGUUGGUUCAUGAAGGAAAGUCUCAAGAUGUGAACCAGAUUUCGAUGGGGGUUCGUGCUAUAACGGCAAACUAUGUGAAUGCCCACUCCCCUAGUGGGUCUAGUAGAAAAGAAGGAUGGAGCCGACCUCCUAUGGGUUUUAUUAAACUAAAUGUUGAUGCUUCUUUUGACCAUGAUCUGUUCAGGGGCACGGUAGGUGCUGUACUCAGAGAUGACAAAGGAAAAUUCAUUGUUGGCGAAAAUAGGAAGAUCGAUUGGUGUGCUGAUGUACUAACAGCAGAAGCGAUGGCUCUGAGGUUUGGUUUAAUUCUUGCACAAAAGGCGGGAUGCAAUCGUCUUAUUAUUAACUCUGAUAAUAUGAAAGUCAUUGACACAAUGAAAAAUGGAGGACAAUCGGCGGGAGUUGCGGCGGCAGUAUUCGAGGAUUGCUACUUCAUGGCAUGUGAUUUUCCGUUGACUAGAUUUGAACAUUGUAAUAGGAUAGCUAAUAAGGUUGCUCAUGAACUUGCUAGGCUAGCGAAAGUUUCUGUAACUAGAGAUUGGUUUGAGGAGCCUGUGGAGAAUAUUGUACCUCUUUUUAUAGACGAUGUAACCAUUAUUUCCAACCAAUAA